GAGCCAAUGUUCGUUAGUGAUGGAACUAUUCCCAAAGUUCAAUUACUUCCAUAGCAUUGGCA
Molecule: microRNA precursor, 62 nt
Filed under: Spodoptera frugiperda (fall armyworm)
Lineage: Eukaryota; Metazoa; Arthropoda; Insecta; Lepidoptera; Noctuidae
Description: microRNA sfr-mir-10460 precursor
Source: miRBase by way of RNAcentral